UGAAAACCCCCUAUCCUCUCCCC
This 23-nucleotide non-coding RNA is filed under the name Mus musculus (house mouse). Lineage: Eukaryota; Metazoa; Chordata; Mammalia; Rodentia; Muridae. The record is from RNAcentral.